RNAcentral lists this non-coding RNA (112 nucleotides) under Ctenophora environmental sample. The record is from RNAcentral. Lineage: Eukaryota; Metazoa; Ctenophora.
AAAUUCACUUGCCAGUGAUGAAAAAAAAGAUAUAUAUAUAUAUAAAAAAUAAAUAACAAUGAAUGGGGGAUUUUUUUUGUUUUGUUUCUGUCUUUGUUUUUGUUUUGUUUUU